Molecule: long non-coding RNA, 1432 nt
Filed under: Panax ginseng (ginseng)
Lineage: Eukaryota; Viridiplantae; Streptophyta; Magnoliopsida; Apiales; Araliaceae
Description: long non-coding RNA (PGIN_LNC011914)
Source: RNAcentral
UAUACCUGAGACCAAUAACCGCAGUGAUUAGGAUAAGUACUAACUCACAUAGAGUUAGUUGAAGAAUCUCACAGGGUCAAAAAGUUAGGUUUAAGUAUGGUACCAUUGUACUCGAAAGUAGUUGAUGUAUGGUAUCUGGGCUAAACGAUUCCUUCAUAGAGCGGAGGUAUAUACGAACUAGCAACUCGGAACCUAGUUUGUUGGUUGUUUGUGGGAAACCACUCAGCGUACCAUAUUGAAAACUGUUAGAGACUCGAUGUGUACCAAGUAUAGGAAGUGGAUAGAUAAAGUCUAAGAGAUUACAAGUGUAAGGAUAAGAGAUCGUAAAACAAAACGAUCACAGAAUAGCAAUGAAUCGUAAUAUAUACGAUGAGAUCACUCCGUGAUCUGAUAAGGUUAUGGUAUGAAGAAAGAUCCAGAGAAUGAUGAAAAGUUUACAGCAAGAUUGCUGUGUAUGAAUUGUACUAUAAAUUGGUACAGAUCCAGAAGAGAAUUAUAAAUACGAAUUAAAUUCGUAUGGAGAAGGGGUUAGUGUUAGGUGGGGAUUCAAUUGAGGACUCAUGUCGGCAGCUGAGUUGUAUGAUUCUUCGUAUGGGAGCUGAAUUGUACUUGGUGUAAAAACCACUUAGUUUCUGGCACUGAUAAUCAUUGAAAUGUUUAUGUCGCGCUAUUUGUUAUAUGCAUGUUCAGAGGGUGAUUCCUUUCUCAUGUGUAUAACAGGUAGAUAGGUCAUAGAUAGAGGAUAUAAGGUUAAGUACGAGUUCUUAAAACUCAUACUUAUGGUACGUUCGUGACUCAUGAUUAUAUGAAAUGUUUAUGGACCCCUCAGCGAAUGGACGCCAAAGGUCUGUCUAGGAAAGUUCUUAAACUCAUAUGAUUGUGGUAAGUUCCUGAACUCAUAAGUGUGGUAAGUUUGACGAACUGGGUAUAGUUAUGUGUGAAAGAAGUAUUGAGGAUUAUAAGAAUAGAUAGAUCUAUUAAGUAAUGGAUCAGUAGAAAAAGUGAAGUUGAUGAUGGAAGCAUAGGUAUUCCAAAUCUUCUAGCUAUGCUAGACUUCGAAUUUUUGACAUCAAGCUAAAUACGCACUAUGUGCCUUUUGAAAACAAAAAUAUAGACUCGUAAUCAUUUUUGAAACGGUUUAAAGUACAGUCUAUGCUACUUAUUUCGGCUAGACGCGAAAGAUUUGAAGUAUCAAAAGUUGUUUUUAUUUAUCACUUAUGUACCAUGCAACCUGGUGCAGAGAUGAUAAAAAAAUGAUGGAGUCAUCAAUGCAGUAUUACUUAGUGUUGGAUGUGAUCUCAGGAUCGUCAACCCACUAUGGUAUGAUGUAGUAUGAUAAAAUCACCAAAUGACGGAAUCCUCAACGGACUGUAAAUACAGUGCGGCAUCAUGACGUCAUUCUCGAAAAAUGUUUUCAAAAUUUUAAUUUGCC